Molecule: ribosomal RNA, 174 nt
Filed under: Scinax acuminatus (Mato Grosso snouted treefrog)
Lineage: Eukaryota; Metazoa; Chordata; Amphibia; Anura; Hylidae
Description: partial 16S large subunit ribosomal RNA
Source: RNAcentral
ACGUGAUCUGAGUUCAGACCGGAGAAAUCCAGGUCGGUUUCUAUCUAUGACAGCGCUCUCUCUAGUACGAAAGGACCGAAAGAGCAUGGCCCAUGCCCACCGUAAGCCAUCAUUAGUAACCCAUGUCAUCAACUCAAUUUUCUACUAACCUCCUACUACCCUCUAGAUAAGAGA